AGUGUUCCCUGCCCUCACGGGUAGAAACGCCCACCCUUGUAUAAUAUAUCUUGUUGCUUUGGCAGGCCGCCCUCGGGCCCUGGCUCCGGCUAGGUCGCGCCUGCCAGAGGACCCCAAACUCUGAAUGUUAGUGUCGUCUGAGUACUAUAUAAUAGUUA
This 158-nucleotide unclassified non-coding RNA is filed under the name uncultured Hymenoscyphus. RNAcentral describes it as "sequence contains ITS1". The record is from RNAcentral. Lineage: Eukaryota; Fungi; Ascomycota; Leotiomycetes; Helotiales; Helotiaceae.